AACGCAAAUUGCGCCCACUGGCAAUCUGGUGGGCAUGCCUAUUCGAGCGUUGUUUCUCCCCUCAGCUCUGCUGGCGUUGGCGGCUGGACAGCCCCCGAAAUAAAUUGGCUAGUGCUCGCUGCGCGUGACAGCGCUUAUACACAGCGGGUGCGAUGCCACAGCGUGCUCAGGCACUCAAGUUGACCUCGAAUUAGGUAGGAAUACCCGCUGAACUUAA
This 217-nucleotide unclassified non-coding RNA is filed under the name uncultured fungus. Its description in RNAcentral is "sequence contains ITS2". Lineage: Eukaryota; Fungi. The record is from RNAcentral.